AAUCAAUGUUAUAUCUUUAUUAAAUAAUCGGAGUUUCUUUACAAAAUAACUAAAUAAGAUACACCACAUGUUAACGACGAUCCUCCACACCAACAUAGUUGACUGGGAGACGACGGCCUAGACCUCUCCGAACUCAUCUUCAUCAUGAUCCUCCUCUUCUGGAUGCACCUGUUCUUAACCUGGUGUGAUUAUAGCAAGGGUGAGCUCCCAUACGGUCAUCGCUCAGCAAGUGUGGGGAAUAAUGUGUAUGAGCUCACUUACGGUGGGGGCUCAUGUGUAGUAUAAGGCUGAUCAACAAAAAAUGGUUAAGGCUGAGCAUUGCUUUUAAUAAGUUGGUCAAAAUUUUAUUAGCGGUUACCAAGUAUAAGUGUAUACCAACCUAAUUAAAUAAUUGAUCAUAAUGAAUAAUAAAUCUCACAAUGCAAUGCAUGACAUGUUAAGUUUAAUUCCAUAAGUUAAUCAUGCGAGAGUCCUGAGCCGCUCCUGACCGUGAGCACGGCUGAUAUACCAGUUUUACACUCUGCAGAGGUUGCGCAUCUUUACCCACAAGACGUGUUUCCCGUGUAGCCAGGGUUAGCUAGACCCUUAGACACUUUUAAGGUGAAUGGCUAGGGAUCCACUGCGAGGCCUUUACAAAGUUCCACUAGCAUGAGAAAACCCGCUAUGGUUUCAGGACGAAGGAAGCAUAGCGCCUUGUUCCACGGUCUGUAACCCCAUCGCAGUAAUUACAGCCAGCACUAUACUCUGCAGCGACGCCUCCCCGCUUGCCCCUUUCGAGAAAGGAUUAUCCCACACUAGCUUUCCUAAUUAAUUAGCCAAGGGCGUCCCAUUAAACCCUUGUGGUAGCACUGUUUUCUCAGGUUAAGCUCCAUGUUCCAAUUAAACAUUGUGAUCUUAUUAUGCACAAUAAUAAAUAAUCCUGCAAUAUAUCAUAAUGAAACAUGAUCAUAAUUCAUAAGUAUUAUUAAUCCCAAAACCAGGUAGAGCAAUAACAAGACUACCCAAUAAUUCAUUUGUAUGCAAAGUGUAGGGUAAACAAAACUAGGUAACCUAUUAGGUCCCAUCAGCUUAACCUAACAGUGCAGCAGUGAGAAUAGAUUCAUAAAUAUUAUUAGGUCAAAGAAUGUGAUCAAGGACACAACUUGCCUUUUUGGUGCAAAUCCAGGAACUUCUCCAAUUUGAUCUUCGGGUUCCUCGUAACCUCGCUUCUAUUCGCAGCAAAACAUAUAUAUAGGCAAACAAUGAAUAAAAAUAACAUUACACCAAACAUGUAAACAAACUACGUAGGAAUAUUCUACGCGUCGCUACAAGAUCGUAGGUUCAAGAACCACUAAAAACGGAAUUAAAACGAAUAAGAUAUGAAUUUUCUAAGAUUCUGGAAUUAUUUUUGUACUAGAAAUUCAUUUUAGAUUUAAUUUCUGUAAUUUUCUAAUCCUGUGGAUAGCGGGUAUCAUUUUUAAAGAGUUCGGGGUUAAUUCCAAAAGAAUCAGGACCUAACCGUAAAUACUUUUGCAUACUACCGGACUGUGGGUUUAUUCCUGAGAAACUAAGGGUCUCUUAUGCAAAACGCCACAGCCGAAAGGGGUAUUAGCGCACGCGAGCCAUCCGAUCCUGAAACGGCGUCCAAGAUUAGAUCGGAUACCCGUAUGAACCGGUACAAAAUGGAGACCAUCGGAUCACAGAUCCACGGCUACUGAGACGCCCACGUCCAGAUCAAUCUCGAGCCGCACGAUACGUGCUCGACGGCUCGGAUUUUAAGUUUCGAAAGGGUAUCGGCCAGAUCUAAUCCGAACCGCUUGUUAGCCGAUCAACGGCCACGGCCGUCCUCCCUCAUCCAAGCUCCCCCAGGCGGUGGCGCUGGCUCUCCCGCGGCGGCGCUAUUGCCGGCGAGGCAGCGCCCUGGCACCCCAGUUCUUCUCUAGCUACACCGAAUGGCUCUACUCGAGGUAUAGGACAAGGCAAACAAGAGAGGGGAGUCUCACCGAGGGUGGCGGUGGACGCAGUGCUGUCCACGGUGCGACGCAGAUCUUCCGUUGAGUUUGUAUUCCGGCGAGCAAUCGCCAGUGACCUGAGGCCCUAUCUCGCCCACCAACGCCACGGAAAGUUUGCACGCGCACCGGCGAUCAUCCUCGACCACACCAUACGCACAGAACGACGAUGGAGGAGCGGGACCACGGCGGCGCCAUCUCUUAUCCCUCCUCUCUCGGCUCCGAUCUCUCUCUCUCGCUUGCUGCGCCCUAGGAUACACUGGGUAUUGUCACGAGUUGGUGGAGGGGGCUGCUCCAGGGUUCUCCAUAUAUACCCAUGGUCCAUGGGCGAAUCCUUCAGUUACGAUUCGAUCGGUAGAGAAGCUUGCAGACUCCGUUCAUAACGAACACGCGGAGGAUACGAGGUCGACGGCCGACCCGACAGCAUGGCCCCACAUGGCGGUGGUUGAACGACACAUGGCGCUGGCCGGUGGUCCCCAUGAGUCAAUCUCACACGGUGAGAUCGAGCGCUUCGCGGGACGCGCUCCUGAGGUUGGUACACGGCGUGGAGCGAGGCUGAGCAGCAGGGACCACAGGUCAGUGGCCAAAUAAACGCGCGCGCAAGGUUGGCUGGGCCAGGAGGCUGAAGGGGAAAUGGUGUUGGGCUGGCGACGGUUUCGGCCCAGGCUAAGGAGAGCUUCUCUAUUCUUUUUUUUUUUUCUAUUUCUUUGUUUUCUCUUUCCAUUUUGGUUUACAAAUUUUCAAUUUCGAAUUUAAGUCAAAGUCUCACAUCAAAUUAAAUGCAUCAAUCAAAAGUAAAACUCCAGCAUGGAUGCAAGGUAAAUUUUAUUAUUUACUUUAUUUAUUAGAGUAAAUGCUUCAAUUUAUGCAAGGCACACAUUAUUUACUAUAAGAGAAAUAAUUCCUUAUCCUCUAUAUUUAUUCAUAGAAUUUUGGGUAUUACAAAUCCUACCCCCCUUAAAAAUAAUCUCGUCCUCGAGAUUACUAAGAAAAUGGAUGCAGUUAGUUCGGUUUGCUUUUUUUUAUGCUUUUAGUUUCUAAUUGGUUCUAAUACCAUUUUUUUGUUCAAAGUCUUUAGUGGGUAUCUUCUAUGUCUGACCACCAAAGAGGCAGGAAGAGAUGGUUAGAGCAAGGGUAGGUUGGGGUAAGAAAGGUUUAGGCAAAGAAAGACUACAUUCCAGAUGAUGGAUCUUGACUUGGCUGAAGAUCUGGUCUGACUCUUAUCCUUCGUUGACGAGGUUGGUCUUCUCUUCUCGGGUCUUGGUGUCUCCAUCCGAGCUAGGGACAUAUGGCUAAGAUAUCUGUGAGUAGGAUAGACUACAUUAAGUAGGUCGAGAUCUGGUUUGAUGUCAGGUUGGAAUGGAUGGUCAUCAUGAACAUGUUGGUUAGGUCGUUUGUUCAUGGCCGAGUUGGUCUAAGGCACCAAUUUAGGUUUAAGUGAAUUAGGCGAGAAAAGAGUUUCUAGGUGUAGAUUUUAAUCUAUUAACCAAUUUGGGUUAAUUCGCUCUACCCUUUAGAUCGGUGCAAGAAAUAUGAGCCAAUUAGACUAGGUCUUAUUAGAUUAGAUCUGAUUAGUUUUGAUUAGAUCAGACUAGUAUUAGGCAAGAUUAGAUUUAUCCACAUUAGUUUAGACUAUAUUACAUUAGGUUUAGAUGGGAUCUAGAUUAGAAUGGAUUAGGUCAUGGUUGUUACUCUAGGGUAGGAUAAGUAUGCUUAUCAGGAGAAGAUGAAUACAUUAGGAUAAGAUAGAAUCUUUUUAAGAUGAGAUGAACCUAUUAAGCUAGAUAUAUAUUUUAAUGGGGGAUAAUCUAGGUUGUCUAGUUAUCUUAUAAACAUAUUUUAUGCCUAUAUACGCAGAUGCAGUUGCGGACAUUACUCCACAACUCAUCUCACUCAAUCAAAGAACCAAAUCAAAGCAUUUAGCAUAAUGACAAGCAUUCAAGCGCAUAAAUAACUAUAAAAAUAGUUUUUUUUAAUUCCUAGGAUUAGGUGUCCUAUUCCUAAGGAUCACUUUAGGUAUAGGAUUCCAAGGUGUGAAAUCCUUUUUGUCUUUAGAGUGGAAAAGGUAAGAGUAGUCAGAGUAAAGCAGCAAUAGAUGAGAAAAGAUCAAGGAAAGUUUAGAAAGAAUCGGAGUAAAGGUAAGUAGGUAAAGGUUUUGUCCAGGUCUAUCUAGGUUACGUCCUACAGUCAAUAUUGCUCCGAUACCACUUCUGUCACACCCGGAUUUAAGGGCAAACCCGGGCACGUCUCAGAUGUGUGCUAGGAUCAAGUCUCACACAUAUGAUUACUCAUGGUACAGAAAUCAAUGUCAUAUCUUUAUUAAAUAAUCGGAGUUUCUUUACAAAAUAACUAAAUAAGAUACACCACAUGUUAACGACGAUCCUCCACACCAACAUAGUUGACUGGGAGACGAUGGCCUAGACCUCUCCGAACUCAUCUUCAUCAUGAUCCUCCUCUUCUGGAUGCACCUGUUCUUAACCUGGUGUGAUUAUAGCAAGGGUGAGCUCCCAUACGGUCAUCGCUCAGCAAGUGUGGGGAAUAAUGUGUAUGAGCUCACUUACGGUGGGGGCUCAUGUGUAGUGUAAGGCUGAUCAACAAAAAAUGGUUAAGGCUGAGCAUUGCUUUUAAUAAGUUGGUCAAAAUUUUAUUAGCGGUUACCAAGUAUA
Molecule: long non-coding RNA, 4654 nt
Filed under: Zea mays
Lineage: Eukaryota; Viridiplantae; Streptophyta; Magnoliopsida; Poales; Poaceae
Description: long non-coding RNA (ZMAY_LNC005736)
Source: RNAcentral